This 434-nucleotide ribosomal RNA is filed under the name uncultured bacterium. Its description in RNAcentral is "partial 16S ribosomal RNA". It matches the Rfam family "Bacterial small subunit ribosomal RNA", at positions 29 to 507 of the family's 1533-position model. The record is from RNAcentral.
AGCGAACGCUGGCGGCAGGCCUAACACAUGCAAGUCGAACGAACCUUUCGGGGUUAGUGGCGGACGGGUGAGUAACACGUGGGAACGUGCCUUUAGGUUCGGAAUAACUCAGGGAAACUUGUGCUAAUACCGAAUGUGCCCUUCGGGGGAAAGAUUAAUCGCCUUUAGAGCGGCCCGCGUCUGAUUAGCUAGUUGGUUGAGGUAAUGGCUCACCAAGGCGACGAUCAGUAGCUGGUCUGAGAGGAUGAUCAGCCACAUUGGGACUGAGACACGGCCCAAACUCCUACGGGAGGCAGCAGUGGGGAAUCUUGCGCAAUGGGCGAAAGCCUGACGCAGCCAUGCCGCGUGAAUGAUGAAGGUCUUAGGAUUGUAAAAUUCUUUCACCGGGGACGAUAAUGACGGUACGCGGAGAAGAAGCCCCGGCUAACUUCGUG